This is a long non-coding RNA of Lathyrus oleraceus (garden pea), 1916 nucleotides long. RefSeq lists it as uncharacterized. NCBI's taxonomy places the organism in Eukaryota, Viridiplantae, Streptophyta, Magnoliopsida, Fabales, Fabaceae. The transcript is spliced from 2 exons. The record is from RefSeq and is a predicted model, not a curated record.
CCUUUAAACAUGCCGCACCUAACGUUACACGUCAUUUAAUCUAUACCGUCAACCCAAGUAAUCUUAGCCGUCCAUUCAUAAAAAAAACCAUUAUAAAACAUAGGACUGAGACCUUAUAUCAUAUCGCUCAGCAGUUUCGAGGGUUUCACCUUUCUCUAAACCUUCUCCGCCUCUUCUUAAAUUUCAGAUCUCUUGUGAAACUUCUCCAACCCUACGUUCAAUCGAUACCAAAAUUUCACACAUCUGAUGGCGAUUUACACUCUGAUGGUUCAAUCGAUAUCAGUUCUUCACAGAUCUGAUGGAGAUCUACGAAUCGAUGGUUCAAUCGAUACCAGUUCUCCAAAGAUCUGAUGGAGAUAUAUACAUAUGAUUCAAUCGAUGGAAGAUAUUCUCUGAUGCAGAUUUACACACAUAUCGUUCAAUAGAUACCGGAUCUUCAAAUCUCUGAUGGAGAUCUACACAUAUGGUUCAAUCAAUGCCAGAUUUUCAAAUCCCUGAUGGAGAUCUAGACACAUGGUUCAAUCGAUACAAAAUUUUCAAAUCUCUGAUGGAUAUCUACACUCCGGUUCUGAGGCAUGUGGUGCAGAGGUCGAUCUUAAUGUUCGUUUUUGGUUUCUGGAAUAAUUCAUAGAGAAGUCACAUAUUUAUUCUUAAAUCAACGCUCCCGAAGAUAUUUUGCAGAUGUCGUGGUUGAUCGAUGAGCAGGUUUGCAGAUCCAGCGUUGAAUUAUAUCGGUUUCCGUUGUAGGCUCUUUCAUGAUUUGAACUUCAAGAUCUUUGUCUUCCAGAUUCAUAGAUGUUGCUUAUCUCAAAGUUUGUAAUUAUAUUAUGAUCGGAAGCUUUAUGGUGGGGUGUGGGAGUUUAAUGGAUGUAGGAUGUAUCAGGAUUAUAUGCCUCAUGCCUUGAGUGUGUUGGGAAUUAUAUCCUGAGUUAUCUUGUCAUCCGACCUUUGCCAUGUCAGGUGAGCUUGCUUGGCAGGUCAUAAAAUAAUAAAAAAAAGAUUUGUUGGUUUUUGGGAGGGAUCGCACGGGUUUUUUUUUGCCCGGGAUCUCUCCAUUGUGUGGUGUUUGCCUUGCUCCUUUCCUUAUUACUUUUUACUCUAUCGUAUCUCGCUCUAGACAAAUCGACUAUACGCGGUACGCUUGCAUCGAGGAAUUUCUCCAACGAGGUAUUAUCUAUCAGUCCAAUUUUAAUUUCGAAUUUAAGUUAAAAUCAUGACUAUUCUUCGAUGAAAUCAUGAAACCGUAAUUUAAUAAAAUCAUCGAUGAAAUUAAAUUGCUAACUAAAAUUGACUAUUCUUCCUCAACUAUCCACAAUCCCUUUAUCAACCUAGAUAAUUUUAUCUUAAUAUUUGGUUGUUACCCAAAAAUUGUAUAUUUCUACGUGUCUUUUGACUUGUUGUAACUAAGGUGAAUAAAUCCCCUAUGCCUUGUUGUAUAGUAUAAUUCAGUUACUUCGGACAACACUUGUUGUAAAGUGAUAGGUCCAUUGUUAAGAAUUUUGAGGAUCUGCUAUCAUAUUGGAUUCUCUAUACGUGCAGUUUAGUCAGCACCAAUAAAACGGCUAUUGUGAUCAUGAAGCCACAACUAUCAGUUAAUUCUUUGAAGCACGCACGUCCGUUUAUCCUUCCUUUUCAACCAAUAAGGUGAAGAUGACAUCGGCUCUUUCAUCUUAUGCUAAGUAUUUCAAUUACAGUAGUUUUUCAGUUGUCGUAAUCAUUCAGUAAUGCAUUUAUAAUCCCUUAUUCCUUUAAUAUGUAGUUAUAUUUUUGACAGUGCUAUAGUUUUGACAAUGUUAUAGUUCUUCUGUUAGUUAGAAUUACAUCAGCAUGGGUGAUUCAGUUUGUUUAAAAAUUUUGUUUCUGUAUUACUCUAAUUUCAUAUUAAUAUUCUGGAGUGGAGGCAUGUUAUUUUUCAA